UAACACGUGGGUAACCUGCCCAAGAGACUGGGAUAACACCUGGAAACAGAUGCUAAUACCGGAUAACAACACUAGACGCAUGUCUAGAGUUUGAAAGAUGGUUCUGCUAUCACUCUUGGAUGGACCUGCGGUGCAUUAGCUAGUUGGUAAGGUAACGGCUUACCAAGGCAAUGAUGCAUAGCCGAGUUGAGAGACUGAUCGGCCACAUUGGGACUGAGACACGGCCCAAACUCCUACGGGAGGCAGCAGUAGGGAAUCUUCCACAAUGGACGAAAGUCUGAUGGAGCAACGCCGCGUGAGUGAAGAAGGGUUUCGGCUCGUAAAGCUCUGUUGGUAGUGAAGAAAGAUAGAGGUAGUAACUGGCCUUUAUUUGACGGUAAUUACUUAGAAAGUCACGGCUAACUACGUGCCAGCAGCCGCGGUAAUACGUAGGUGGCAAGCGUUGUCCGGAUUUAUUGGGCGUAAAGCGAGUGCAGGCGGUUCAAUAAGUCUGAUGUGAAAGCCUUCGGCUCAACCGGAGAAUUGCAUCAGAAACUGUUGAACUUGAGUGCAGAAGAGGAGAGUGGAACUCCAUGUGUAGCGGUGGAAUGCGUAGAUAUAUGGAAGAACACCAGUGGCGAAGGCGGCUCUCUGGUCUGCAACUGACGCUGAGGCUCGAAAGCAUGGGUAGCGAACAGGAUUAGAUACCCUGGUAGUCCAUGCCGUAAACGAUG
RNAcentral lists this ribosomal RNA (713 nucleotides) under uncultured bacterium. Its description in RNAcentral is "bacterial SSU rRNA". It matches the Rfam family "Bacterial small subunit ribosomal RNA", at positions 111 to 811 of the family's 1533-position model. The record is from RNAcentral.